Molecule: ribosomal RNA, 494 nt
Filed under: uncultured bacterium
Lineage: Bacteria
Description: bacterial SSU rRNA
Rfam family: Bacterial small subunit ribosomal RNA
Source: RNAcentral
AAAUGAAUAGACGGGGGCCCGCACAAGCGGAGGAACAUGUGGUUUAAUUCGAUGAUACGCGAGGAACCUUACCCGGGCUCGAACGGUGCAGGAAUAAAGCAGAGAUGUUUUAGCUAGCAAUAGUCUGUAUCGAGGUGCUGCAUGGUUGUCGUCAGCUCGUGCCGUGAGGUGUCGGCUUAAGUGCCAUAACGAGCGCAACCCUUGUCGUUAGUUACCAUCAGGUUAUGCUGGGGACUCUAGCGAGACUGCCACCGUAAGGUGAGAGGAAGGGGGGGAUGACGUCAAAUCAGCACGGCCCUUACGUCCGGGGCGACACACGUGUUACAAUGGUAGGUACAGAGGGUAGCUACCCAGCGAUGGGGUGCCAAUCUCUAAAGCCUAUCUCAGUUCGGAUCGGAGUCUGCAACUCGACUCCGUGAAGUUGGAUUCGCUAGUAAUCGCGCAUCAGCCAUGGCGCGGUGAAUACGUUCCCGGGCCUUGUACACACCGCCCGU